UACGAAGGGGGCUAGCGUUGCUCGGAAUCACUGGGCGUAAAGCGCACGUAGGCGGAUUGUUAAGUCGGGGGUGAAAUCCUGGAGCUCAACUCCAGAACUGCCUUUGAUACUGGCGAUCUUGAGUCCGGGAGAGGUGAGUGGAACUGCGAGUGUAGAGGUGAAAUUCGUAGAUAUUCGCAAGAACACCAGUGGCGAAGGCGGCUCACUGGCCCGGUACUGACGCUGAGGUGCGAAAGCGUGGGGAGCAAACAGG
This 253-nucleotide ribosomal RNA is filed under the name uncultured bacterium. RNAcentral describes it as "partial 16S ribosomal RNA". It matches the Rfam family "Bacterial small subunit ribosomal RNA", at positions 524 to 776 of the family's 1533-position model. The record is from RNAcentral.